AAUUAUCAAAAACCAUUUUCUUUUAUAGAAAAGGAUUUUGGACUUGGAGGUUUGAUGCUUGUCUCUCUUCUUUGAAAGCAAGCUCCUCUCAAAUGAAUUAGUGGGGUCUGCUUUGCUGAUCCUUGACGUGAUAAGAUGUUUCUACGUUUUGGACUUGGCAUCGUGCCUGCUUCUAACUGUCUUACAGACAAAACAAAAAAGAAC
Molecule: unclassified non-coding RNA, 204 nt
Filed under: uncultured Russula
Lineage: Eukaryota; Fungi; Basidiomycota; Agaricomycetes; Russulales; Russulaceae
Description: sequence contains ITS2
Source: RNAcentral